GAUGAACGCUAGCUACAGGCUUAACACAUGCAAGUCGAGGGGAAACGAUAGAGAAAGCUUGCUUUUUCUAGGCGUCGACCGGCGCACGGGUGAGUAACGCGUAUCCAACCUGCCCAUCACUUGGGGAUAACCUUGCGAAAGUAAGACUAAUACCCAAUGACGUCUCUAGAAGACAUCUGAAGGAGAUUAAAGAUUUAUCGGUGAUGGAUGGGGAUGCGUCUGAUUAGCUUGUUGGCGGGGUAACGGCCCACCAAGGCGACGAUCAGUAGGGGUUCUGAGAGGAAGGCCCCCCACAUUGGAACUGAGACACGGUCCAAACUCCUACGGGAGGCAGCAGUGAGGAAUAUUGGUCAAUGGACGAGAGUCUGAACCAGCCAAGUAGCGUGCAGGAUGACGGCCCUAUGGGUUGUAAACUGCUUUUAUAAGGGAAUAAAGUGAGUCUCGUGAGACUUUUUGCAUGUACCUUAUGAAUAAGGACCGGCUAAUUCCGU
RNAcentral lists this ribosomal RNA (491 nucleotides) under uncultured bacterium. RNAcentral describes it as "bacterial SSU rRNA". It matches the Rfam family "Bacterial small subunit ribosomal RNA", at positions 28 to 506 of the family's 1533-position model. The record is from RNAcentral.